AUGCCAUCAAAGUUGAAACAAAAGUUUGUUUGCCAAACAAGUAAUUACUUGGCUUGCACGGAAGUCAUGAGAUUAUCAGGACAUUUUUUUCCCCCUCUGGGAAAGAGACCUGUGAUCAAACAAAGCGAAAUAAAACAGUUCAGACCCCAAGCAUUCAGAGCAACUGAGCAUGUCCUUCCGAAUCAUCCUGAUGUCCUUUUCCCCUUUCUCCCAUUUGCUUCAGCAUUUCUACACAACAUCAUGAGGGCAGAAGCCUCGUUGUUUAUGCUACAUAAUGCAAUCUCCUUCUUGGACGCGUGCACAAGUUUGUGCUUCUUGGGUGGUGGGUGUUCACAGGGGGUGUGUCCCCACCCCCAGACUUCUCUGAACUCAAGUCGAACCAUAAUCCCCACAACCACUGGGAUGCCCUGCAUUGCAUCAGCAGGAGGUGUUUUUCUUGCUGUUAUUAUUGGUUGGAAAGUGUGA
Molecule: long non-coding RNA, 465 nt
Filed under: Capra hircus (goat)
Lineage: Eukaryota; Metazoa; Chordata; Mammalia; Artiodactyla; Bovidae
Description: lncRNA (ENSCHIG00010001348.1)
Source: RNAcentral